GGGGUGCACUGCGUAGGGGACAGGGGUGCACUGCGUAGGGGACAGGGGUGCACUGCGUAGGGGAUAGGGGUGCACUGCGUAGGGGAUAGGGGUGCACUGCGUAGGGGACAGGGGUGCACUGCGUAGGGGAUAGGGGUGCACUGCAUGGAGAAUAUGGCAUCAUUUGAGACUGAUGUGUUGUGUAUUGGGUCAGAGAUUGGAACGUCAGAAUUGGCAGUGUAUUCCCUGUGCACUGUAUUAGGGUGCCAUUUCAGACAUCCCACUGUGAGCGAACCCAAGGACCAAAUAUUGAUGUCAUGACGAUAACGUGUUUCAACAUUUAUGCAAAUAUUUUGUUAGCCUGAUCCCAGGUCUGUUUGUGCUCUUGCUAACUACAAACUAAAGACUAUUUCCGUAAGGAGCAGAAACCGAUCCGGCUGUUUUUUGGUUCAGUAAAAUAAUGAAUAUAAAGUCGUAUCAUCUGUAAUCCAUGUUACUGAAAUAUGUUUUGGUUCUGUUUUCAUUCUUUUUAAUCAUAUUUAAAGUUGUCGUAACUUGAUUGUUGUAAUAUAAUGUUCAUUUUGAGGGGAGGGGGGAGGGGGGAGAAACUGAAUAAAAUGGCCAAACUCUCCUUCAAGACCCGUGUGUGCAGAGAUAAGCCUAUGAAAGUGCUUCAGUGGAUCCACAGUGCAUUACCGGUUUGUCCAGGACCAAGUUAACAAGCUGUUUCAUAUAAGAAAGUAAUGACCAGAAUGCAUUUUAGGGAAAGAAUAUAGAUUUUAUUAAAUGUAUUCAAUUGUGAGUUUGAUCAAUUCCAGUCCCGUUGCCGAGGGGAUCCGGGGUCCUCCCAGGGAUAACUUUUAUGUAGAAGGACUGAGAAGCUCAGUUCUGGGGACUUUUUGGAAAGAUGUUCUACUCUAAAAUGAACCUAUAGCCCAACUGAUGCAGCAUAGUGGCUAGAAAAGGUACAGAAGCCUGGGGUUGGUCUCACUUCCUGAUUGGUAUUAUAUUAUUAAAAGGUCCAGAAGCCUGGGGUUGGUCUCACUUCCUGAUUGGUAUUAUAUUAUUAAAAGGUCCAGAAGCCUGGGGUUGGUCUCACUUCCUGAUUGGUAUUAUAUUAUUAAAAGGUCUAGAAGCCUGGGGUUGGUCUCACUUCCUGAUUGGUAUUAUAUUAUUAAAAGGUCCAGAAGCCUGGGGUUGGUCUCACUUCCUGAUUGGUAUUAUAUUAUUAAAAGGUCCAGAAGCCUGGGGUUGGUCUCACUUCCUGAUUGGUAUUAUAUUAUUAAAAGGUCCAGAAGCCUGGGGUUGGUCUCACUUCCUGAUUGGUAUUAUAUUAUUAAAAGGUCCAGAAGCCUGGGGUUGGUCUCACUUCCUGAUUGGUAUUAUAUUAUUAAAAGGUCCAGAAGCCUGGGGUUGGUCUCACUUCCUGAUUGGUAUUAUAUUAUUAAAAGGUCCAGAAGCCUGGGGUUGGUCUCACUUCCUGAUUGGUAUUAUAUUAUUAAAAGGUCCAGAAGCCUGGGGUUGGUCUCACUUCCUGAUUGGUAUUAUAUUAUUAAAAGGUCCAGAAGCCUGGGGUUGGUCUCACUUCCUGAUUGGUAUUAUAUUAUUAAAAGGUCCAGAAGCCUGGGGUUGGUCUCACUUCCUGAUUGGUAUUAUAUUAUUAAAAGGUCCAGAAGCCUGGG
This is a long non-coding RNA of Oncorhynchus tshawytscha (Chinook salmon), 1661 nucleotides long. RefSeq lists it as uncharacterized. The record is from RefSeq and is a predicted model, not a curated record. Lineage: Eukaryota; Metazoa; Chordata; Actinopteri; Salmoniformes; Salmonidae. The transcript has 2 exons.